AGCCGUGGCACUGUCAAGUCAUCAGACGCGGUGAUUGCGAGGCCUGUGGGAAAGUACAAAAGCCUGGGCUAGAUUACCCCUCUCAUCGAGCCCGCCUGUGUGGCACCUGUUUCUUAUCACCCCACUAAGUUCCCGCCUCACAGGGUAGUCUGCCUAGCUAUUAAUCCUAUAUAUAGCCAGUGCCUCCACCCCCGAGAGAGAGAGAGACUGAAACACAAAAGGAGCCGCGGGGAGCGGACCGGUAGAGGCUUCGGGGGAGACUGAAGCACAAAAGGAGCCGCGGGGAGCGGACCGGUAGAGGCUUCGGGGGAGACUGAAGCACAAAAGGAGCCGCGGAGAGCGGACCAGAGGAGGCUUCGGGGCAGACUGUAUAAGGAGAGAAUAAAGAAAAGCCUGACCACCGCCAGACCUUGUCGUGUGUCUUUCCUGCCGGCCGGGAGCGGACAUCGACAUUUGGAGGCCCGCACGGGGAUUGAUCAACCCCGAGACGCGGCGGUGGACUGCAUUCUCCUACACAGUGCUGCAGCUGCAGGACAGGAAUCGGGACGAGAGCCAAUGUGGGUCCCAGAGAGGUUGACGCGACAAGUCCCUCGACUGAAGAUCAGGCCUGUUCCACCAGAGGCCAAAAGCAGACCCAACAACAAGAUGAGCCCUAAAAGAACUGCAGGACAAUCCCUUUUUGGGGGCCUGGAACGGCUUGCUCCCCUAUGUGCUACCCUUGUAUACGCAUGGCUCGCUCGCAUGGCCUACGACCGCGUUUAAAAGUGACAGGCUUCCCACAUUCUCCUCCCUAGACAACAACAUGUAGCAGGGUGGGUGAGUCAAUGACGGGUAAGAGCGUGCCUCCCCAGCACGACUCAACCUAAGCCAGGCCCUACCCCGUUCCGCUCGAAAGCCGCUGGAUUGUUAGAUAAAUUUCUCUCCGAGGGGAUUCGUGGAGAGAAAUGAGUGCAUGCCUAUGUGCAACCAGGUUCCGUCCGGUUCAUUCCUGGCCCUAGAAAAAAGGACGAGGGCCUCAGGGCCUUGGUGGACCCUGGGACGGCCGACCAGGGUCUACGCUAAGGGCCUACGGUGGGCCUCAGUUCGGGGCAUAGGCCUCUGCACUCUAUCCAGGACGGGCUGCGAUGCGCGUAGCCAUCAUUUAAAAUAAAAUAGGGGGAGAUGUUGGGAGCCGUGGCACUGUCAAGUCAUCAGACGCGGUGAUUGCGAGGCCUGUGGGAAAGUACAAAAGCCUGGGCUAGAUUGCCCCUCUCAUCGAGCCCGCCUGUGUGGCACCUGUUUCUUAUCACCCCACUAAGUUCCCGCCUCACAGGGUAGUCUGCCUAGCUAUUAAUCCUAUAUAUAGCCAGUGCCUCCACCCCCGAGAGAGAGAGAGACUGAAGCACGCAAGGAGCCGCGGGGAGCGGACCGGUAGAGGCUUCGGGGCAGACUGAAGCACGGAAGGAGCCGCGGAGAGCGGACCGGUAGAGGCUUCGGGGCAGACUGUAUAAGGAGAGAAUAAAGAAAAGCCUGACCACCGCCA
This is a long non-coding RNA of Cavia porcellus (domestic guinea pig), 1522 nucleotides long. RefSeq lists it as uncharacterized. Lineage: Eukaryota; Metazoa; Chordata; Mammalia; Rodentia; Caviidae. The transcript is spliced from 2 exons. The record is from RefSeq and is a predicted model, not a curated record.